Oncorhynchus tshawytscha (Chinook salmon) is the source of this 2057-nucleotide long non-coding RNA. The record is from Ensembl. Lineage: Eukaryota; Metazoa; Chordata; Actinopteri; Salmoniformes; Salmonidae.
CUGGUCAGAUCAGUCCAUGGGGAGAGUCACUAUAACUAACAUGAGGUGAACCAAAACAUGCAGUUUUACAGAAACUCUGUUCAUCAACUAGUCAAAUGUUGCUAACCUGGUUCCAUCAAGGUGUACUGAUGAGGGGUCAAACGUUACAGACCAUGCUGACUUCCUGGUUCCAUCAAGGUGUACUGAUGAGGGGUCAAACGUUACAGACCAUGCUGACUUCCUGGUUCCAUCAAGGUGUACUGAUGAGGGGUCAAUCGUUGCUAACCUGGUUCCAUCAAGGUGUACUGAUGAGGGGUCAAACGUUACAGACCAUGCUGACUUCCUGGUUCCAUCAAGGUGUUCUGCUAUGAGGAGUCAAACAGAACAUCUCUCCUACUGUACAGUAGGUAACAGAACAUCUCUGCUACUGUAGUCUAGUGUCUGUGAGCUGCAGGUAACAGAACAUCUCUGCUACUGUAGCCUAGUGGCUGUACAGUAGGUAACAGAACAUCUCUGCUACUGUGGCCUAGUGUCUGUACAGUAGGUAACAGAACAUCUCUGCUACUGUAGCCUAGUGUCUGUACAGUAGGUAACAGAACAUCUCUGCUACUGUGGCCUAGUGUCUGAGCUGUAGGUAAGAAUGUUGAGGAGGAGGAGUGGUCCUAAUGAAACUAGAUGACAUCAUCAAUCAUCUGAAAGUCAAACCAGCCAGCACAUUCAACGUAGUGAUUAUAGUGGGGGCUGAAAUUAUAUUCAACAUAGUGAUUAUUCUGGAUAGUGGGGGCUGAAAUGAUUGACACCCUUGAUAAAGAUGAGCAAAAACAAUUCAUAUUCUGAGUUAUAUUUUAUGCUUAAACAUUUCCCAAAUUGUAUACUUAUACAAUUGUUCAAAGAGAUUGUUAAACAAAAUGUUCUCCUCAAAUGUUAGUAAAAAUUGACACCAGUUUUCAAUACCUCACCUUGCGAGGAUAACGGCGUGGCCUUUUUCUAAAAUGUUUUCUGAGAAGGUAAUAAACAUAGGAAGGGAUCUUAAACUAUCCCUCCAUACAGAAUCCUUUCAGAUCAUAGAUAUCCUGCUUCCUCUGGGGUUAUGGUCUGCCCUCUUCCAUUCAAAACACAGCUUUUCAAUGGGGUUCAAGUGCCUGGCCAAAGAGCUCUCAUGUUAUCCAACUGGUCUGACUGGCCAAAGAGCUCUAUUCUCAUGUUAUCUGACUGGCCAAAGAGCUCUAUUACCAUGUUAUCUGACUGGCCAAAGAGCUCUAUCAUGUUAUCCAACUUGUCUGGCUGGCCAAAGAGCUCUAUCAUCAUGUUAUCUGACUGGCCAAAGAGCUCUAUUAUCAUGUUAUCUGACUGGCCAAAGAGCUCUAUUCUCAUGUUAUAUCCAACUGGUCUGACUGGCCAAAGAGCUCUUAUCAUGUUAUAUCCAACUGGUCUGACUGGCCAAAGAGCUCUAUCAUGUUAUAUCUGACUGGCCAAAGAGCUCUAUUACCAUGUUAUCCAACUGGUCUGACUGGCCAAAGAGCUCUUAUCAUGUUAUCCAACUGGCCAAAGAGCUCUAUUAUCAUGUUAUCUGACUGGACAAAGAGCUCUAUUAUCAUGUUAUCCAACUGGUCUGACUGGUCAAAGAGCUCUAUCAUGUUAUCCAACUGGUCUGGCUGGCCAAAGAGCUCUAUUAUCAUGUUAUCUGACUGGCCAAAGAGCUCUAUUACCAUGUUGUCUGACUGGCCAAAGAGCUCUAUCAUGUUAUCUGACUGGCCAAAGAGCUCUAUUACCAUGUUAUCUGACUGGUCAAAGAGCUCUAUUCUCAUGUUAUAUCCAACUGGUCUGGCUGGCCAUAGCUCUAUUAUCAUGUUAUCUGACUGGCCAAAGAGCUCUAUCAUGUUAUCCAACUGGUCUGGCUGGCCAAAGAGCUCUAUUAUCAUGUUAUCCAACUGGUCUGACUGGCCAUAGAGCUCUAUCAUGUUAUCCAACUGGUCUGGCUGGCUGUUAAGGGAAUUUUUAUCAAUGAUGACUAAUUAUGUAUACAUUUCAAUCAGGACUGACUAAUCAGAAUACUAGUAUGUUACUGUAUAUGUACU